CCUACGGGGGGCUGCAGUGGGGAAUAUUGGACAAUGGGGGCAACCCUGAUCCAGCCAUGCCGCGUGUGUGAAGAAGGCCCUCGGGUUGUAAAGCACUUUCAGUGAGGAAGAACGCCUGGUGGUUAAUACCCAUCAGGAAAGACAUCACUCACAGAAGAAGCACCGGCUAACUCCGUGCCAGCAGCCGCGGUAAUACGGAGGGUGCGAGCGUUAAUCGGAAUUACUGGGCGUAAAGCGCGCGUAGGUGGCUUGAUAAGCCGGUUGUGAAAGCCCCGGGCUCAACCUGGGAACGGCAUCCGGAACUGUCAAGCUAGAGUGCAGGAGAGGAAGGUAGAAUUCCCGGUGUAGCGGUGAAAUGCGUAGAGAUCGGGAGGAAUACCAGUGGCGAAGGCGGCCUUCUGGACUGACACUGACACUGAGGUGCGAAAGCGUGGAUAGCAAACAGGAUUAGAUACCCCUGUAGUC
This 465-nucleotide ribosomal RNA is filed under the name Vreelandella stevensii. RNAcentral describes it as "partial 16S ribosomal RNA". It matches the Rfam family "Bacterial small subunit ribosomal RNA", at positions 338 to 795 of the family's 1533-position model. Lineage: Bacteria; Pseudomonadati; Pseudomonadota; Gammaproteobacteria; Oceanospirillales; Halomonadaceae. The record is from RNAcentral.